RNAcentral lists this long non-coding RNA (355 nucleotides) under Physcomitrium patens. RNAcentral's name for it is "long non-coding RNA (PPAT_LNC003628)". Lineage: Eukaryota; Viridiplantae; Streptophyta; Bryopsida; Funariales; Funariaceae. The record is from RNAcentral.
AAAAAGAGAUAAUUUGAAAUAUUUUAUUCAUUAGAAUGGCUACAAUGUCAAUGAGUAUACGUAGGGAUCAAUAAAAAAAUCUAAUUAAUAUGUCGCAAAAGGUAAAGAGUUUCAUCAACACUAUCUUCAAAAAUCUAAACCUAUUUUAGGAUGACUUCUCUAUAAAGCUACUAUUAGAGUGUUGUACAUAACCAAAAAAAUAAAUAUUAUUCACAUCAAUAUUAAAAUUAUAUAUAUUUAAUUUAUAAUCUAAUAUGUUGAAUUGGAGAGUAUUUAAAAAGUCUUUAGAUCAUGAAUCUCAAAGUAGAGCCAAAGUUAGAACUUUCUUCAUUACAACUAUUAGAUUAAUUAUUCC